CCGUCUCUCCCUCUGUCUCCCCCUCCGUCUCCCCCUCCCUCCACAAAGCACAAAGCAAACCUCUCAUUGGAGCAAAGUUCCCAAGCGUGAUGCAACCCGGCUGAGCGGCUGAGAGGAGAGCCGACAGACAAGCGAGCUGCUCCGAUGCCAAAACCAGCUUGUGUUUCCACAUUACGAUGGAAGAGAUUUGAACGUGCUGCGUUUUGAAAAAUUAGGUUGUAAUACCAGAAUUUGCUGAUGAACUGCUGCUGUGAAGAAACAUCACAAAGAAGAGACGGAUGAGCCACAGUCAGAGAGCCUGGCAGCAUUUUAAAUUAAAAACAAACACAUUCAGCGGCUCGUUGAAACAUUGAAAGGUUUUUGGCAGAAACUGACCACAAGACACCAACACUGGAGAUUAAAGAUACUCAGACAGGAUUCCAGUAUCAUCAGUACUUAAGUACCUAAAGUAUCUGAAAAAUACAAGUGAAAAAAAAAAUGCUGACACAAACUUCCCUUUAUAUGUAAACACUGCAAAACUGUAAACAAAAUGUGGAAAACGGACGUGGGCGGGGUUAACCGGGAUUUCUGCGAUGAGGCUGACAUGAUGAAUCCUUCAGCACUCACAGCCUGAAAUCCUCUUUCAGAUGUUGUUCUUUGAUCACCAAUAAAAGGGAAAAAAUAAAUAAGUAAAAGAAAAUUCCUGACACCCAGAAGUAGAAAAACUUUAAGAACCUUGUGAGGUGACUCAGACUUUGACUGCUCCAACAGUUCACACAUAACAAUCUGCUGCUGGAAGUCGAUCCCCGAUAAGCAAUUUUCUUCUAACACAGUGAAUAUUUAUCUGACAUCAUUAAA
Long non-coding RNA from Scatophagus argus, 837 nucleotides. RefSeq lists it as uncharacterized. The record is from RefSeq and is a predicted model, not a curated record. The transcript has 3 exons. Lineage: Eukaryota; Metazoa; Chordata; Actinopteri; Scatophagidae.